GUCCACGCCCUAAACGAUGGAUACUCGAUGUCGGGUCGCAAGGCCCGGUGUCCAAGCUAACGCGUUAAGUAUCCCACCUGGGGAGUACGAUCGCAAGGUUGAAACUCAAAGGAAUUGACGGGGGCCCGCACAAGCAGUGGAGCAUGUGGUUCAAUUCGAUGCAACGCGAAGAACCUUACCUGGGUUUGAAAGGCCAGUGACACCCGAUGAAAGUCGGUCUUGUAGCAAUACACACUGGUACAGGUGCUGCAUGGCUGUCGU
RNAcentral lists this ribosomal RNA (261 nucleotides) under uncultured bacterium. RNAcentral describes it as "partial 16S ribosomal RNA". It matches the Rfam family "Bacterial small subunit ribosomal RNA", at positions 793 to 1055 of the family's 1533-position model. The record is from RNAcentral.